This 451-nucleotide ribosomal RNA is filed under the name uncultured bacterium. Its description in RNAcentral is "partial 16S ribosomal RNA". It matches the Rfam family "Bacterial small subunit ribosomal RNA", at positions 354 to 796 of the family's 1533-position model. The record is from RNAcentral.
GUGGGGAAUAUUGGACAAUGGGGGGAACCCUGAUCCAGCCAUGCCGCGUGUGUGAAGAAGGCCUUUUGGUUGUAAAGCACUUUAAGCGAGGAGGAGGCUACCGAGAUUCAUACUCUUGGAUAGUGGCCGUUACUCGCAGAAUAAGCACCGGCUAACUCUGUGCCAGCAGCCGCGGUAAUACAGAGGGUGCAAGCGUUAAUCGGAUUUACUGGGCGUAAAGAGCGCGUAGGUGGCCAAGUAAGUCAACUGUGAAAUCCCCGAGCUUAACUUGGGAAUUGCAUUCGAUACUGGUUGGCUAGAGUAUGGGAGAGGAUGGUAGAAUUCCAGGUGUAGCGGUGAAAUGCGUAGAGAUCUGGAGGAAUACCGAUGGCGAAGGCAGCCAUCUGGCCUAAUACUGACACUGAGGUGCGAAAGCAUGGGGAGCAAACAGGAUUAGAUACCCGAGUAGUCC